Molecule: transfer RNA, 77 nt
Filed under: Geobacter psychrophilus
Lineage: Bacteria; Pseudomonadati; Thermodesulfobacteriota; Desulfuromonadia; Geobacterales; Geobacteraceae
Also listed under: 2 other names
Description: tRNA-Arg
Rfam family: tRNA
About the family: Transfer RNA (tRNA) molecules are approximately 80 nucleotides in length. Their secondary structure includes four short double-helical elements and three loops (D, anti-codon, and T loops).
Source: RNAcentral
GCGCUCUUAGCUCAGCUGGAUAGAGCAAUAGCCUUCUAAGCUAUAGGCCGCUGGUUCGAGUCCAGCAGGGCGCACCA